ACCAAGCUGACGAGUUUCAAAUAGGACGAAACACCCGUCCUGGAU
Non-coding RNA from Schistosoma mansoni, 45 nucleotides. The record is from Rfam. NCBI's taxonomy places the organism in Eukaryota, Metazoa, Platyhelminthes, Trematoda, Strigeidida, Schistosomatidae.